AUACGGAGGAUGCGAGCGUUAUCCGGAUUUAUUGGGUUUAAAGGGUGCGCAGGCGGAUAGUUAAGUCAGCGGUGAAAUGUCCCGGCUCAACCGGGGAGCUGCCGUUGAUACUGGCUAACUUGAGUGCGGACGGCGCCGGCGGAAUGUGUCAUGUAGCGGUGAAAUGCUUAGAUAUGCCACAGAACACCGAUCGCGAAGGCAGCUGGCGAGGCCGUGACUGACGCUCAGGCACGAAAGCGUGGGGAGCAAACAGGAUUAGAUACCCUGGUAGUCCACGCAGUAAACGAUGAGGACUUGUUGUCGGCGAUAGAAUGUCGGUGACAAAGCGAAAGCGAUAAUUCCUCCGCCUGGGGAGUACGAUCGCAAGGUUGAAACUCAAAUGAAUUGACGGGG
RNAcentral lists this ribosomal RNA (393 nucleotides) under uncultured bacterium. RNAcentral's name for it is "partial 16S ribosomal RNA". It matches the Rfam family "Bacterial small subunit ribosomal RNA", at positions 523 to 918 of the family's 1533-position model. The record is from RNAcentral.